UUUGGGUGUUAGAAACACUUUGAGGAUUUUCAGGAGACCUGCGGAUGAUGAUCUUUUUGACACAGUGAUUGGCUGUUCGGGUUUGUUAUGCUUUCAGUAUUUUGAUACAAAUGCAGCUUCUAUAAAUUUGCAUUCCACGCAGAAAUGCAGUCUGGAUGGUUGUUUGCAGAAGGAAGCUAUAUCUUUCUGUCUCAAGCAUUACACCAAUUUGUUGGCAGCAUCAUGUGGCAGUCCCAACACAGCAAGGUUAUAAAGAAGCAGAAGUCCCUAAGUCCUUCACCGCCUCAUGAACCCAGACUGUUGUUAGCAAUGGACACAAGCAUCAAGUUAAGGGCUGGAGGGCUGUUUCCUGUGGUUCCAGUGUUAGGCUUUGACACCAACACACCCACUACAGAGAGCAACAGCACACACAGCCAAGGAAUGUCAGAAAACACAGUCUCCAUCACAGAAUUUCUUAGGCCAGCAAUAUUACACAAAAUCGAUCUUCAACAGAAGAAUACUGUAUCUGAGAAAAUACAACUUUUAAAAAUUAAUAUUCAGAAAGAAAGAAUAAAACUGUUUGCAGAUCGAGGGGCUUUUAUUUAAUUAUUUGAUUGAAAUAAAACAAUAUUUUAAAUAUAUACUGAGCUUUUA
RNAcentral lists this long non-coding RNA (633 nucleotides) under Salvator merianae (Argentine black and white tegu). RNAcentral's name for it is "lncRNA (ENSSMRG00000008234.1)". The record is from RNAcentral. Lineage: Eukaryota; Metazoa; Chordata; Lepidosauria; Squamata; Teiidae.